Molecule: ribosomal RNA, 497 nt
Filed under: uncultured bacterium
Lineage: Bacteria
Description: partial 16S ribosomal RNA
Rfam family: Bacterial small subunit ribosomal RNA
Source: RNAcentral
GAUGAACGCUGGCGGCGUGCCUAAUACAUGCAAGUCGAGCGAACGGACGAGAAGCUUGCUUCUCUGAUGUUAGCGGCGGACGGGUGAGUAACACGUGGAUAACCUACCUAUAAGACUGGGAUAACUUCGGGAAACCGGAGCUAAUACCGGAUGAUAUUUUGAACCGCAUGGUUCAAAAGUGAAAGACGGUCUUGCUGUCACUUAUAGAUGGAUCCGCGCUGCAUUAGCUAGUUGGUAAGGUAACGGCUUACCAAGGCAACGAUGCAUAGCCGACCUGAGAGCGUGAUCGGCCACACUGGAUCUGAGACACGGUCCAGACUCCUACGGGAGGCCGCAGUAGGGAAUCUUCCGCAAUGGGCGAAAGCCUGACGGAGCAACGCCGCGUGAGUGAUGAAGGUCUUCGGAUCGUAAAGCUCUGUUAUUAGGGAAGAACAUAUGUGUAAGUAACUGUGCACAUCUUGACGGUACCUAGUCAGAAAGCCACGGCUAACUACGUG